Molecule: ribosomal RNA, 560 nt
Filed under: uncultured bacterium
Lineage: Bacteria
Description: bacterial SSU rRNA
Rfam family: Bacterial small subunit ribosomal RNA
Source: RNAcentral
CCUACGGGAGGCAGCAGUGGGGAAUCUUGCGCAAUGGGCGAAAGCCUGACGCAGCCAUGCCGCGUGAAUGAUGAAGGUCUUAGGAUUGUAAAAUUCUUUCACCGGGGACGAUAAUGACGGUACCCGGAGAAGAAGCCCCGGCUAACUUCGUGCCAGCAGCCGCGGUAAUACGAAGGGGGCUAGCGUCGCUCGGAAUUACUGGGCGUAAAGGGAGCGUAGGCGGAUAGUUUAGUCAGAGGUGAAAGCCCAGGGCUCAACCUUGGAAUUGCCUUUGAUACUGGCUAUCUUGAGUGUGGGAGAGGUAUGUGGAACUCCGAGUGUAGAGGUGAAAUUCGUAGAUAUUCGGAAGAACACCAGUGGCGAAGGCGACAUACUGGCCCAUUACUGACGCUGAGGCUCGAAAGCGUGGGGAGCAAACAGGAUUAGAUACCCUGGUAGUCCACGCUGUAAACGAUGAGUGCUAGUUGUCGGCAUGCAUGCAUGUCGGUGACGCAGCUAACGCAUUAAGCACUCCGCCUGGGGAGUACGGUCGCAAGNUUAAAACUCAAAGGAAUUGACGG